GGGGGCGGGGACUACUUUUUGGCGGCGCAGGGAUCCUGCUAAGGACGUGGCGUGCCGUGUGCCGCGGCCCCGAGCCUGGGCCUCCGGUCGCCAUUGCGGCGGCGGCGCCGUGAGGGAGAGGUGGGAGUGAGGUGUGAGCCGCCGGGCGGAGGUGGGCAGCGCUGCGGAGCCGCCCUGACAGCCACGGCUCCGGGGACGCUUCCAGGCGGGUCACGUCGGGCUGAAGGGAGGCGGGCGGCAGGCAGGGAUGCCUGCUAGCUGCAGGGGGAUGGCGGUGGGACGCGCUGCUGCCUUCUCUUUUCAAACUGCUCGUUUGCCUGUUUAUUUAUGUUUUCAAUGCUGGCUCAGUGUACAGCAUCCGUUUCGUGUCAAAACCGCGCAGGUCUUAGGGAUGAACUGCUGAGAGCACCUCCAGAGAGAGCCCUGCUCGCAGACGUGGCAGCGGGCACGUCGGGUCUGGGAACGUGUCAGCCCCCGUUUAUUUCUGCACAAAUACACAUCGCUGUGGCUGUACUCUAAAUAUACGCUAAAGGAGCGUUAGCUGGAGCGAUGCAGCCGCUGUCACGCAGCGAGGUUAAGGAGGAAUGAUGGAGCGUCCGGAGUGCUUUACGCUAGGGCUGCAGCGUGAUGUGGGUUGCCACGUCUGCAGGGAGCUGUCUUCUGAUGCUCGUCUGGAGAUCAGCCCAAUACGGUCAGAUUCUGAACCUGUGAAGAGUGUCUGAUUUACGGGUGCGUAUGGCAGAAAAAUAGCAUUGAGUAUUGGAAAUACUGUGGUCUUAGAACUGUUUUUGUGAGAGCUUUUGGAAACUGAACAUCAAAAAGGAGAUGAAAAUAAAUCCGUGACUCCUGUGUGCUUA
Numida meleagris (helmeted guineafowl) is the source of this 857-nucleotide long non-coding RNA. RefSeq lists it as uncharacterized. The record is from RefSeq and is a predicted model, not a curated record. The transcript is spliced from 2 exons. NCBI's taxonomy places the organism in Eukaryota, Metazoa, Chordata, Aves, Galliformes, Numididae.